GCUCAGUCAUAUAUGAGAUUACCGUGUCAUUUCUUUUAAAGUUCUCUUUUGUGCAUUUAGUUUUCCUUGGUUCGCUUCAGGGACUCUAUUAAUGUUUCAAACUAGAAUAAAGUUAUCCUGAAGACGUGCGGAUUCACCAAGUUUCUUGUGUCAGCUGCUCUUGCUGGUGCUCCUGCAUGGGAUUUCAGACGUACUCUUUAUGAAAAGAAGUAACCCAAAUUGAAGCAAAACUCUCUGUUUGAGAGUCGAGACAAGCUUGGGAGAUUUACGGUUGAUCACUUCCAAGGAUUGCGUAGUGUAUCAGCUGCAACGUCGACAAACCAAUUAUUAAUUGAAUAUUGGUUGAUGGGGUCCACUUCAGGAGCUUGCGCACCAGAACUUACAGGAAAGGCCGAUGGAUCUGUGAGGAAGACAUCAAAGUCAGGAAUGACAGAAGCAGGGAGAGGUAAAUCAAAC
Long non-coding RNA from Cucurbita maxima (winter squash), 456 nucleotides. RefSeq lists it as uncharacterized. NCBI's taxonomy places the organism in Eukaryota, Viridiplantae, Streptophyta, Magnoliopsida, Cucurbitales, Cucurbitaceae. The transcript is spliced from 3 exons. The record is from RefSeq and is a predicted model, not a curated record.